This 944-nucleotide ribosomal RNA is filed under the name uncultured bacterium. RNAcentral describes it as "bacterial SSU rRNA". It matches the Rfam family "Bacterial small subunit ribosomal RNA", at positions 70 to 1034 of the family's 1533-position model. The record is from RNAcentral.
GUUUCCGGGCUUGCUCGGAAAUUAGUGGCGAACGGCUGAGUAACGCGUAGGUGACCUACCCCGUAGUGUGGAAUAACUGCCCGAAAGGGUAGCUAAUACCGCAUGUUGAGCCGACAUCAAUGUCGUCUCCAAAGCAGAAAUGCGCUAUGGGCGGGGCCUGCGUUCGAUUAGCUAGUUGGUGGGGUAAUGGCUCACCAAGGCGACGAUCGAUAGGUGGUCUGAGAGGACGAUCACCCAGACUGGGACUGAGACACGGCCCAGACUCCUACGGGAGGCAGCAGUCGGGAAUUUUGCGCAAUGGGGGAAACCCUGACGCAGCAAUACCGCGUGUGGGAUGAAGGCCUUCGGGUCGUAAACCACUUUUUUCGGGGACGAUAAUGACGGUACCCGAAGAAUAAGCCACGGCUAACUACGUGCCAGCAGCCGCGGUAAUACGUAGGUGGCAAGCGUUGUCCGGAUUUACUGGGCGUAAAGCGCGCGCAGGCGGUGAAUGAAGUCGAAAGUGAAAGCCCCGGGCUCAACUCGGGAACUGCUUUCGAAACCAGUUCACUUGAAGGCGGAAGAGGGAAGUGGAAUUCCGAGUGUAGUGGUGGAAUGCGUAGAUAUUCGGAAGAACACCAGAGGCGAAGGCGACUUCCUGGUCCGAUCUUGACGCUGAGGCGCGAAAGCUAGGGGAGCAAACGGGAUUAGAUACCCCGGUAGUCCUAGCUGUAAACGAUGGAUACUAGGUGUUGGAGGUUUUAACCCCUCCGGUGCCGCAGCUAACGCAUUAAGUAUCCCGCCUGGGGAGUACGGCCGCAAGGCUAAAACUCAAAGGAAUUGACGGGGCCCCGCACAAGCAGCGGAGCGUGGGGUUUAAUUCGAUGANACGCGAAGAACCUUACCANNGCUUGACAUGCACAUGACCGCGGCGNANCGUCGCUUUCCCGAAAGGGNCGCGUGCA